RNAcentral lists this ribosomal RNA (497 nucleotides) under uncultured bacterium. RNAcentral's name for it is "partial 16S ribosomal RNA". It matches the Rfam family "Bacterial small subunit ribosomal RNA", at positions 28 to 507 of the family's 1533-position model. The record is from RNAcentral.
GAUGAACGCUGGCGGCGUGCCUAAUACAUGCAAGUCGAGCGAACAGACGAGGAGCUUGCUCCUCUGACGUUAGCGGCGGACGGGUGAGUAACACGUGGAUAACCUACCUAUAAGACUGGGAUAACUUCGGGAAACCGGAGCUAAUACCGGAUAAUAUAUUGAACCGCAUGGUUCAAUAGUGAAAGACGGUUUUGCUGUCACUUAUAGAUGGAUCCGCGCCGCAUUAGCUAGUUGGUAAGGUAACGGCUUACCAAGGCAACGAUGCGUAGCCGACCUGAGAGGGUGGUCGGCCACACUGGAACGGGAACACGGUCCAUACUCCUACGGGAGGCAGCAGUAGGGAAUCUUCCGCAAUGGGCGAGAGCCUGACGGAGCAACGCCGCGUGAGUGAUGAAGGUCUUCGGAUCGUAAUACUCUGUUAUUAGGGAAGAACAAAUGUGUAAGUAACUAUGCACGUCUUGACGGUACCUAAUCAGAAAGCCACGGCUAACUACGUG